CCUACGGGAGGCAGCAGUGGGGAAUAUUGGUCAAUGGGCGCAAGCCUGAACCAGCCAAGUAGCGUGAAGGAUGACUGCCCUACGGGUUUUACACUUCUUUUAUAAAGGAAUACAGUGAGGCACGUGUGUCUUUUUGUAUGUACUUUAUGAAUAAUGAUCGGCUAACUCCGUGCCCGCAGCCGCUGUACUACGGUGGUUCCGUGCGUUGACCGGAUGUAUUGGUUUUAAAGGGAGCGUAGAUGGGUUGUUAAGUCAGUUGUGAAAUUUUGCGGCUCAACCGUAAAAUUGGAAUUGAUACUGGCAGUCUUGAGUACAGUUGAGGUAGGCGGAAUUCGUGGUGUAGCGGUGAAAUGCGUAGAGAUCACGAAGAACUCCGAUUGCGAAGGCAGCUUACUAAACUGUAACUGACAUUGAUGCUCGAAAGUGUGGGUAUCAAACAGGAUUAGAUACCCUGGUAGUC
Molecule: ribosomal RNA, 460 nt
Filed under: uncultured bacterium
Lineage: Bacteria
Description: partial 16S ribosomal RNA
Rfam family: Bacterial small subunit ribosomal RNA
Source: RNAcentral